UACGUAUGGAGCAAGCGUUAUCCGGAUUUACUGGGCGUAAAGGGAGCGUAGGCGGCCUGCCAAGUCUGAUGUGAAAUACCGGGGCUCAACCCCGGGGCUGCAUUGGAAACUGGCAGGCUGGAGUGCCGGAGAGGCAGGCGGAAUUCCUAGUGUAGCGGUGAAAUGCGUAGAUAUUAGGAGGAACACCAGUGGCGAAGGCGGCUUACUGGACUGUAACUGACGUUGAGGCUCGAAAGUGUGGGUAUCAAACAGG
This 253-nucleotide ribosomal RNA is filed under the name uncultured Lachnospiraceae bacterium. RNAcentral's name for it is "partial 16S ribosomal RNA". It matches the Rfam family "Bacterial small subunit ribosomal RNA", at positions 524 to 776 of the family's 1533-position model. The record is from RNAcentral. Lineage: Bacteria; Bacillati; Bacillota; Clostridia; Lachnospirales; Lachnospiraceae.